RNAcentral lists this ribosomal RNA (2930 nucleotides) under Enterobacter bugandensis. RNAcentral describes it as "bacterial LSU rRNA". It matches the Rfam family "Bacterial large subunit ribosomal RNA". Lineage: Bacteria; Pseudomonadati; Pseudomonadota; Gammaproteobacteria; Enterobacterales; Enterobacteriaceae. The record is from RNAcentral.
GGGUUGUGAGGUUAAGCGACUAAGCGUACACGGUGGAUGCCCUGGCAGUCAGAGGCGAUGAAGGACGUGCUAAUCUGCGAAAAGCGACGGCGAGGUGAUAUGAACCUUUGACCCGUCGAUGUCCGAAUGGGGAAACCCAGUGUGUUUCGACACACUAUCGUUAACUGAAUACAUAGGUUAACGAGGCGAACCGGGGGAACUGAAACAUCUAAGUACCCCGAGGAAAAGAAAUCAACCGAGAUUCCCCCAGUAGCGGCGAGCGAACGGGGAGCAGCCCGGAGUCUGAAUCAGCUUGUGUGUUAGUGGAAGCGUCUGGAAAGUCGCACGGUACAGGGUGACAGUCCCGUACACGAAAAUGCACAGGUUGUGAACUCGAAGAGUAGGGCGGGACACGUGGUAUCCUGUCUGAAUAUGGGGGGACCAUCCUCCAAGGCUAAAUACUCCUGACUGACCGAUAGUGAACCAGUACCGUGAGGGAAAGGCGAAAAGAACCCCGGCGAGGGGAGUGAAAAAGAACCUGAAACCGUGUACGUACAAGCAGUGGGAGCACCUUCGUGGUGUGACUGCGUACCUUUUGUAUAAUGGGUCAGCGACUUAUAUUCUGUAGCAAGGUUAACCGUAUAGGGGAGCCGCAGGGAAACCGAGUCUUAACUGGGCGUUAAGUUGCAGGGUAUAGACCCGAAACCCGGUGAUCUAGCCAUGGGCAGGUUGAAGGUUGGGUAACACUAACUGGAGGACCGAACCGACUAAUGUUGAAAAAUUAGCGGAUGACCUGUGGCUGGGGGUGAAAGGCCAAUCAAACCGGGAGAUAGCUGGUUCUCCCCGAAAGCUAUUUAGGUAGCGCCUCGUGAACUCAUCUUCGGGGGUAGAGCACUGUUUCGGCUAGGGGGCCAUCCCGGCUUACCAACCCGAUGCAAACUACGAAUACCGAAGAAUGUUAUCACGGGAGACACACGGCGGGUGCUAACGUCCGUCGUGAAGAGGGAAACAACCCAGACCGCCAGCUAAGGUCCCAAAGUCAUGGUUAAGUGGGAAACGAUGUGGGAAGGCACAGACAGCCAGGAUGUUGGCUUAGAAGCAGCCAUCAUUUAAAGAAAGCGUAAUAGCUCACUGGUCGAGUCGGCCUGCGCGGAAGAUGUAACGGGGCUAAACCAUGCACCGAAGCUGCGGCAGCGACACUAUGUGUUGUUGGGUAGGGGAGCGUUCUGUAAGCCGUUGAAGGUGUGCUGUGAGGCAUGCUGGAGGUAUCAGAAGUGCGAAUGCUGACAUAAGUAACGAUAAAGCGGGUGAAAAGCCCGCUCGCCGGAAGACCAAGGGUUCCUGUCCAACGUUAAUCGGGGCAGGGUGAGUCGACCCCUAAGGCGAGGCCGAAAGGCGUAGUCGAUGGGAAACAGGUUAAUAUUCCUGUACUUGGUGUUACUGCGAAGGGGGGACGGAGAAGGCUAUGUCAGCCGGGCGACGGUUGUCCCGGUUUAAGCGUGUAGGUGUGUGUUCCAGGCAAAUCCGGUUCACUUUAACACUGAGGCGUGAUGACGAGGCACUACGGUGCUGAAGUGAUAAAUGCCCUGCUUCCAGGAAAAGCCUCUAAGCAUCAGGUAACACGAAAUCGUACCCCAAACCGACACAGGUGGUCAGGUAGAGAAUACCAAGGCGCUUGAGAGAACUCGGGUGAAGGAACUAGGCAAAAUGGUGCCGUAACUUCGGGAGAAGGCACGCUGAUAUGUAGGUGAAGUCCCUGCGGACGGAGCUGAAAUCAGUCGAAGAUACCAGCUGGCUGCAACUGUUUAUUAAAAACACAGCACUGUGCAAACACGAAAGUGGACGUAUACGGUGUGACGCCUGCCCGGUGCCGGAAGGUUAAUUGAUGGGGUUAGCGGCAACGCGAAGCUCUUGAUCGAAGCCCCGGUAAACGGCGGCCGUAACUAUAACGGUCCUAAGGUAGCGAAAUUCCUUGUCGGGUAAGUUCCGACCUGCACGAAUGGCGUAAUGAUGGCCAGGCUGUCUCCACCCGAGACUCAGUGAAAUUGAACUCGCUGUGAAGAUGCAGUGUACCCGCGGCAAGACGGAAAGACCCCGUGAACCUUUACUAUAGCUUGACACUGAACACUGGUCCUUGAUGUGUAGGAUAGGUGGGAGGCUUUGAAGCGUGGACGCCAGUCUGCGUGGAGCCGUCCUUGAAAUACCACCCUUUAAUGGCUGGUGUUCUAACGUAGACCCGUGAUCCGGGUUGCGGACAGUGUCUGGUGGGUAGUUUGACUGGGGCGGUCUCCUCCCAAAGAGUAACGGAGGAGCACGAAGGUUAGCUAAUCCUGGUCGGACAUCAGGAGGUUAGUGCAAUGGCAUAAGCUAGCUUGACUGCGAGAGUGACGGCUCGAGCAGGUGCGAAAGCAGGUCAUAGUGAUCCGGUGGUUCUGAAUGGAAGGGCCAUCGCUCAACGGAUAAAAGGUACUCCGGGGAUAACAGGCUGAUACCGCCCAAGAGUUCAUAUCGACGGCGGUGUUUGGCACCUCGAUGUCGGCUCAUCACAUCCUGGGGCUGAAGUAGGUCCCAAGGGUAUGGCUGUUCGCCAUUUAAAGUGGUACGCGAGCUGGGUUUAGAACGUCGUGAGACAGUUCGGUCCCUAUCUGCCGUGGGCGCUGGAGAAUUGAGGGGGGCUGCUCCUAGUACGAGAGGACCGGAGUGGACGCAUCACUGGUGUUCGGGUUGUCAUGCCAAUGGCACUGCCCGGUAGCUAAAUGCGGAAGAGAUAAGUGCUGAAAGCAUCUAAGCACGAAACUUGCCCCGAGAUGAGUUCUCCCUGAGACUAUAAGUCUCCUGAAGGAACGUUGAAGACGACGACGUUGAUAGGCCGGGUGUGUAAGCGCAGCGAUGCGUUGAGCUAACCGGUACUAAUGAACCGUGAGGCUUAACCUUACAACGCCGAAGCUGUU